UAGUGGGGAAUAACUCGCUGAAAGGCGAGCUAAUACCGCAUAACACCCUCGGUGAGAAUCCGGGUGGUAAAAGCUUUAUGCGCUAUGAGAGGGGCCCGCGGCCGAUUAGCUUGUUGGUGGGGUAACUGCCUACCAAGGCGACGAUCGGUAGCUGGUCUGAGAGGAUGGUCAGCCACACGGGGACUGAGAUACGGCCCCGACUCCUACGGGAGGCAGCAGCUAAGAAUCUUGCGCAAUGGGCGAAAGCCUGACGCAGCAAUUCCGCGUGGGGGACGAAGGCCCUCGGGUCGUAAACCCCUUUUGUGAGGGAAGAAGUUCUGACGGUACCUCACGAAUAAGACACGGCUAACUACGUGCCAGCAGCCGCGGUAAUACGUAGGUGUCGAGCGUUGUCCGGAUUUAUUGGGCGUAAAGAGCCCGCAUGCGGCUUGCCAAGUUCGAGGUGAAAUCUCCCGGCUCAACUGGGAGGGUGCCCCGAAAACUGGCAGGCUUGAGGCAGGGAGAGGGAUGUGGAAUUCCCGGUGUAGUGGUGAAUUGCGUAGAUAUCGGGAGGAACACCAGUGGCGAAGGCGGCAUCCUGGCCCUGUCCUGACGCUCAGGGGCGAAAGCAUGGGUAGCAAACCGGAUUAGAUACCCGGGUAGUCCAUGCCGUAGACGAUGAGUACUAGGUGUAGGGGGUAUCGACCCCCUCUGUGCCGAAGCUAACGCGAUAAGUACUCCGCCUGGGGACUACGGCCGCAAGGCUAAAACUCAAAGGAAUUGACGGGGGCCCGCACAAGCAGCGGAGCGUGUGGUUUUAUUCGAUGAUACGCGAAGAACCUCACCCAGGUUUGACAUGCAUGUGGUACUGAUGUGAACAGCUGAGGGACCCUUCGGGGAGCAUGCACAGGUGUUGCACGGCCGUCGUCAGCUCGUGCCGUGAGGUGUUGGGUUACAGUCCCGCAACGAGCGCAACCCCUGUCGCCAGUUGUAUUUUUCUGGCCGUAGACUGCGCGAGAAAACCUCGGAGGAAGGAGGGGUACUGAUGUCAGGUCAGCGUGGCCCUUACGCUCUGGGGCUACACACACGCUACAAUGGGCAGUACAACGGGUCGCACAAGCCGCCGAGGUGGAGCUAAUCCCAUCAAAACUGUCCUCAGUUCGGAUAUGCAG
This 1151-nucleotide ribosomal RNA is filed under the name uncultured bacterium. RNAcentral describes it as "bacterial SSU rRNA". It matches the Rfam family "Bacterial small subunit ribosomal RNA", at positions 134 to 1304 of the family's 1533-position model. The record is from RNAcentral.